CCUACGGGAGGCAGCAGUGGGGAAUUUUGGACAAUGGGCGAAAGCCUGAUCCAGCCAUUCCGCGUGCAGGAUGAAGGCCCUCGGGUUGUAAACUGCUUUUGUACAGAACGAAAAGGUUUCUAUUAAUACUAGGAGCUCAUGACGGUACUGUAAGAAUAAGCACCGGCUAACUACGUGCCAGCAGCCGCGGUAAUACGUAGGGUGCAAGCGUUAAUCGGAAUUACUGGGCGUAAAGCGUGCGCAGGCGGUUAUAUAAGUCAGAUGUGAAAUCCCCGGGCUCAACCUGGGAACUGCAUUUGAGACUGUAUAGCUAGAGUACGGUAGAGGGGGAUGGAAUUCCGCGUGUAGCAGUGAAAUGCGUAGAUAUGCGGAGGAACACCGAUGGCGAAGGCAAUCCCCUGGACCUGUACUGACGCUCAUGCACGAAAGCGUGGGGAGCAAACAGGAUUAGAUACCCUGGUAGUCCACGCCCUAAACGAUGUCAACUGGUUGUUGGUCUUAACUGACUCAGUAACGAAGCUAACGNGUGAGUGCGCGNGGAGUAACGGUCGCGAGUUAGUAAGUUAGAAGAAGUUGNGGNGNGAGAGNGCGAGGACGACGACGAGGGAGGAGG
Molecule: ribosomal RNA, 613 nt
Filed under: uncultured bacterium
Lineage: Bacteria
Description: bacterial SSU rRNA
Rfam family: Bacterial small subunit ribosomal RNA (bases 1-537)
Source: RNAcentral